AGAGCCCGAUGCGGGGCUCGAUCCCAGGACCCUGGGAUCAUGACCUGAGCUGAAGGCAGAGGCCUUAACCCACUGAGCCACCCAGGUGCCCCAACUUCAUUGAUUUUUAAAAACUAUUUACUUUCCUAAUGACAGUAGAACUCAGGAGAUUGGAACUUGACAUGAAUGUGAGAUUGGCUAUCUGGGGAUACAUUUAAAAAUUUCAAUAUAAAAGCCUGCCUAUUUAUUUCUUGGACUUGAAACCAGAAAGGCAAGCAAUGGGGGCAGGUACUUCUUAUAUUCAACACAUUACUCCUGGUUUCUCUUUUAGUCCAUGAAUUCCUUUUUUCUUUGAUUUUGCUACUGCCAUUUGUUCUUUUGUAAGCUAUAGAGGAUACAAGAAUAAAAUGAAAAUAAUAUGCUCUAGAAGAAUGUCGAACUUGCUUGGUGGGGGGUAGGGGGGAAAUGGUAGUAGGAAACUGCUCCUAAAUACUGUACCCCCCCCAAUUCUUCAUGUUUUGUUUUCAUAGCCAAUGAAGGAGAAGAGAGAGAAAGGGAGAAGCAGAGCUGGGGAGGUGGAAUUUUCACUCUAAAGGGCUAAUUUAAAGAUUUAACUCAGAAAGGUUGCAGAGUACUUGGAGCUGCCUCUCCCAAGCCAGAGUAGACUGAGCUAGAGGUACCACCUGGGCUCCAUAACAGCACAGUUUCAGGGAACAGACCCUUCCGAGGUACAGCUGGGGAUCCUUGGUUGCUAUGGUUCUGAGGAAUAAAUCUCAUCUUCGUAAAGGUAAGCAAAGUUAAGACUAUACCCCGUAAAGUGCAGAAAAAUGGUCUUUGUGAGUGGAUCUGAAAUAUUGCAAAGGGCUAGCUGGCAUCCCUGCCACAGUGGCGGUACUGUGGCUCACAGGUUCCUGUCGGCCCCUACCUCUCACACUGGCCCUGGGGAACAUCUGCUCAGGCCAAAGAAAGGGCCCCUGUAUGGUUUGUGCUGGAUCUAGAACCACAGGGCUUGGGCAGUAAUUAUAAGCAUCUAGGAAGAACGGGUUCUCUUAGGAGAAGGAGGAAGAUAUAUGGCAGCCAGAGAGGUCCUGAGCGAGCCCGGCAGUUGGUGUACCAUUCCGCAUGGCUCCUCCCCUGUGCUGAGCAUCUAGGAAGGCACCUGGGCCUGGAGGGCUUGGAGCCCCAGGAGGACCAGAGGAGAAGGAUCCUUUGGGGAGGAGCCCCCCAGGGGAACAUCAUGAGUCCUGGCAGUCCAGUCAAACUGCGACCACAUUUCAGCAAUCUUUGAAUAAACAUUUCCAUUUUCGUGUUUUUGAACUUACUCUUGUUGCUGCUGCUCUUUUUUGUUUACUUUCUUUCCAAUGUUCCUGUUGAAAAUCUAUGAUUAUUGUUGUAGCUGAAAAAAUUUGGAGGAAAAAAAUGCCUCAGACUGUUGUGGGUUGAAUUAUGUCUUAUGAAAAGAUAUGGAGAAGUCCCAAGUCUGGUACGUAUGAACAUGACCUUAUUUGGGAAUAGGGCCUUUGCGGAUGUUAUCAAUUGGGAUAGGAUGGGUCUUAAAUCCAAUGAGGGGUGUCCUCAUAAAGAGAGAGAGAGAGAGAGAGAGAUCUGGAGACCCAGACAGACUCACAGGGACAAAGCAUACGUGAAGAGCCAAGCAGAGGUUGGGUCAGUGCAUCAUAAGUCAAGGAAUGACAAGGAUUGCCUGCAGCCUCAGAAGAGACCAGGAGAACACUACCCUAGGAGGAAGCAUAACCUUGGUUGACACCUUGAUUUUGGAUGUCUGCCUCCAGAUCUGUGAGAGAAUAAAUUUCUGUUGUUUUUAGUCACCCAGGGACUCUGCUCCAGCCACCUCAGGGCAUUCACACACAGGCUGUGGAACUCAGAGGUCCACUGGUAUGGUGAGUGUCCCACCUGAAGACCCGAGCAGCUAUGUGGAUGGAGCAAAGAUAGAGCUACACUUAGCUGCAGAAUGGCCACGUGUGGGGAUUCAGAGGCACAAAGGCCAUGCAAGUCAUAUUACAUAGAUCCGGCUGGACCUGGAUUUUUUUUUUAAUGUGUGAAAAAAAAACCCACAUAACAUGAAUUUUACCAUUUUUAAGGGUACAGUUUAAUAAUGUUAAGUAUUUUCCCAUCAUCAUGGGACCUGAACAGAUUUUUAGGAUUGGAAGAUACUAUACUUUUUAAGUGUAGUUUGUCACUAAAGUGUUUGUCAUUCAAUUAUUAUAUUCUUCACUCCCUAACGACUGAGCACAAAUCUGAGUCUUAGUGAUGAUUCUCUCUCUUCAGAGAACAAAGUUUACAGAGUCUAGCUGGUUAAUACAAAGUUUUGGAUUUUGAAAUGAUAAUGAGGUCAUCUUUUAGCAACUAAGCUUAAAGCUAACAUCAUGCUUCAUUUGAUAGUGUAUGUUAAAUUGGCUUUGGUCAAUCCAUGCUAGGUUUAAAACAUAAGAGAGAAAGUGUGAGAUAUUCUCAUUCCAUUAGGAUAAAUGUGGCUACUCAAGGCUAUUGCUGUGAUGUAGGAUUCAAUCAAUCUGGCACAGCACCCUCUGCUCUCCAGAAUGAGAAGAAAGCUGACAGCUGGAUGAAGAAAGGCUUUGUGGAGGAAGCAUCAUUAGAGCUGACUUUCAGGAACUGGUCCAGCACUAUUGUGGGCACUCCUGGGGACCUGCUCCAUGAACCACCCAUUAGCCCUUAAAACUUCUGCUUGGAAGUGAUCCAAGGCUCUUCUGCUGCAAUUCCAUUGGCCAAAGUCAGUCAUAUGGUCAAGUUUGCUGCUGUCAGUAGUUCACUGUACUGAUAUGAGAGGUCCUGAGGAAAGAAACUUUCCAGAGCCACUGAGACCCUGGGGCAGAAGAAAUAGCCCUCAAUCCUGCUGUAGCACCCUCUACCCCAUUUUCACAGGAAAAGGAGAAGACAUGAAAAGAGGAUGCUGGCAGGAACAGAACCAGGAGAGGCCUUACUUCUGGAUGGGCACAUGUGAGGGCCGAGGAAGUCCACCGAGGCUGAGAAGCCAGGCGAGGACCUCAGGUACCUAUAAGCACCUCAGGUGACUGGUCUCAGAAAGUCUGGGAAGCACUCACCUAUCCGGUGGUUCUCCGGCUGGACCCCACAGAACCCAGAGAUCUCUCCACGCUUCCUUAGCGCUACCAAAGAAUGCCAUGGGAAUGAAGGGAAGGACUGAGUUUAUGAAACUUGAGUCCUCCCACCUGCUACAGUUGAUCAUGAUGCUGACUUCUGCAGUGGCCCAGCCUCUGAGGACCAAAGCCACCAAACCAGUGGGAGGAGGAUGCUUCGAACCUGAAUGUCGGGAUGGAACUUAACCAGGCUGCCUUCUGAAAUGGAACUUCCAGAAAGCAGCAGACAGACUGUGGAAGAGCCUUCCCAGAAAAAGAAAAGCCUCCUAUAGACCAGCAAGAGCUCUGAUCACACAAAUGAACCAGGAGAAGCAUGUCAAGAAGGGUGAUGGUCAACAGUGUCAAAUGACUCGGAGCUUGAAGAAUAUGGAAAGUGAAUGGACAAAUGCACUUUAGACAUGUCUUCAUCAACCACCAGCGCUGCGCGGGGUGGGAGUGCUUGUCACACCUAAGCACCCCAGGAGCCUCUUCAAACUCUCACCACCCCAGCAGCUGAUUCGGGAGCUCCGGAGUGAGACCCAGGCACGCGCGUUUUCAGAACACUUCAUACAGGAGGUUCUGAAAUGCAUCAUACCCCACACAGUUGAGAAUCACUGAGGUACGUAGGACUGAGUCCUGGAAUUUGCUAUGGUGUGGGAGAAGAUGGCAUGGAAUCGUUUGCAAAAACUGGGUGGGUGUCAAGUGACUCAGGAAAGGAGGACAAGGAGAGCAGGUGGCUGCGCCAGCAGAUUCGGGAAAGCGCGGGGGCUCCCAUUACGUUCAGUUCAGCGGCUGUGCCUCUCCCAACCCCACAAGAGUGCCAGUGACCACACAAGAGAAUCAGAAAACCUAUAAGAGCUCAGAACAACGGAGAUAACCACAUUUUUCUGAAAGAUCAUGGUCAGUCUUCUAAAGACAAGGAAUGCGAAUGGGGAGGAAAAAACACUCUUGAUAAUGAAAAGGCAGUGGGGAAUCCUCAAAAGUUUCAGCAGUUUGUGUGCAGCGCUGCCCUCUGCUGGUUACAUUCGGACCUGCAGCCGUAUGGCAACAGCAGCCUUGACUUCCGGAGUGCACCCCGGAGAGGACAGGUGAGUGGGAACGUCAUUAAGACCACACAUAUGACUCUUCAGGUAAAAGCUGAGCCUGGAAAUUUAGACUCAGAUCUCCCAGUUAGAUAACUAUGCUUAAAAAGAAACCCCACACAAACUUUCCAGGAAAAGCUUCUGUGGCCCUGAAAAAGUUCCUUUGGAAAAAUAUUUUGAUGUGGACUUAAUGGCCACAGUCACCUAGAAAGAAGCUACCGGGGUAGAAACUUCUCCAGGAAUGAAUUAAUGAACGUUGAAAAAGCAUUAGUA
Lutra lutra (Eurasian river otter) is the source of this 4447-nucleotide long non-coding RNA. RefSeq lists it as uncharacterized. The record is from RefSeq and is a predicted model, not a curated record. The transcript has 9 exons. NCBI's taxonomy places the organism in Eukaryota, Metazoa, Chordata, Mammalia, Carnivora, Mustelidae.